GGCCUCGCCGGCCACACCUUCGUCCCUCCCCUCGCAGGCUGUUGAAACGUGCCGGCAGCGAGCCGGGGCAGGAAGGUGGCGCCCGCAGGCCGCAGCAGCCCCUAACGAGGCUCUCGGUGACGUUCAGGUGCCACCGGCAGGUCCCUCCCAGCCCCUCGCUAGGUCCUUUGGGACCGACGGUCUUUUCUAUUCUCUGGGGGUCGAUUUUGCAGUUCUGCUGGAAGCCUGGCAGCGUGUUUGCUCCCCCAAACCAUGGAACUACCAGGCAGCCAGCGGACUGCAGGAAGUUACAGCGACUGGCGUGAACCAAUCAUCCUGAAAGUCCCUGCCGCACAUGACUUUCUCGGCCACCUGCACUCGUGGGGAAAGAAACAGUGUUCCCUGUUAGUGGCAUUAAGGCACGGAGCUGCACGUCGAGCCCGGAAGAAAGGCUGGGAGUGCCCUCCCCGGGGGCCUCAAGACCCGCCAACAGCGUGAAGUUCAGCGGAGCCCGUGCGAGCCUGAACCGGGCUGUCUGGUCUUCGGGUGGCUUUCAAGGGCUUCCUGAAAACGCAGGGAGAAAGGAGAGACGUUUUGAAAUGGUAAAACUGUACCGUUGUGAACGCCAGCAUAACACCGGGGAGGGGGCACUGGAGUCUCAAAGCUGAAGGAGUUCAACAUUUCAA
Molecule: long non-coding RNA, 665 nt
Organism: Suricata suricatta (meerkat)
Lineage: Eukaryota; Metazoa; Chordata; Mammalia; Carnivora; Herpestidae
Exons: 2
Source: RefSeq, a predicted model, not a curated record